Molecule: long non-coding RNA, 1075 nt
Organism: Bufo bufo (common toad)
Lineage: Eukaryota; Metazoa; Chordata; Amphibia; Anura; Bufonidae
Exons: 3
Source: RefSeq, a predicted model, not a curated record
ACCAUCACAAAAGACCCCUAAAUCAUACAAGUGUACGGACCAUAGGGGUCCGCCCUAGAGAGCAGGUCGCUACACAUAAGCUGUAGGACGACCGUACAUUAUACAGGAAGACUUGCCGUUCGGGAGUCUAGGACAGCGGGUGAUACCUACAGGUGAUAGCCAGGACAGCGGGUGAUACCUACAGGUGAUAGCCAGGACAGCGGGUGAUGGGCUAUAGGUGAUAGCCAGGACAGCGGGUGAUACCUAUAGGUGAUAGCCAGGACAGCGGGUGAUACCUAUAGGUGAUAGCCAGGACAGCGGGUGAUACCUAUAGGUGAUAGCUAGGACAGCGGGUGAUACCUACAGGUGAUAGCUAGGACAGCGGGUGAUACCUACAGGUGAUAGCCAGGACAGCGGGUGAUACCUAUAGGUGAUAGCUAGGACAGCGGGUGAUACCUAUAGGUGAUAGCCAGGACAGCGGGUGAUACCUAUAGGUGAUAGCCAGGACAGCGGGUGAUACCUACAGGUGAUAGCUAGGACAGCGGGUGAUACCUAUAGGUGAUAGAUAGAACAGCGGGUGAUACCUAUAGGUGAUAGAUAGGACAGCGGGUGAUACCUACAGGUGAUAGCUAGGACAGCGGGUGAUACCUAUAGGUGAUAGCUAGGACAGCGGGUGAUACCUACAGGUGAUAGAUAGAACAGCGGGUGAUACCUAUAGGUGAUAGAUAGGACAGCGGGUGAUACCUAUAGGUGAUAGCCAGGACAGCGGGUGAUACCUACAGGUGAUAGCUAGGACAGCGGGUGAUACCUACAGGUGAUAGCUAGGACAGCGGGUGAUACCUACAGGUGAUAGCUAGGACAGCGGGUGAUACCUACAGGUGAUAGCUAGGACAGCGGGUGAUACCUACAGGUGAUAGAUAGGACAGCGGGUGAUAACUAUAGGUGAUAGCCAGGACAGCGGGUGAUACCUACAGGUGAUAGCCAGGACAGCGGGUGAUACCUAUAGGUGAUAGAUAGGACAGCGGGUGAUACCUAUAGGUGAUAGCUAGGACAGCGGGUGAUACCUACAGGUGAUAGCUAGGACAGCGGGUGAUAC